Molecule: unclassified non-coding RNA, 248 nt
Filed under: Hevea brasiliensis (rubber tree)
Lineage: Eukaryota; Viridiplantae; Streptophyta; Magnoliopsida; Malpighiales; Euphorbiaceae
Source: RNAcentral
UGCUUGGGCUCCGCAGAGCUGUAGACAUAUUUGUUCUGGUGGGGAUGACGGACAGGCGCUCAUUUGGGAGUUGCCAACUGUUGCAGGGCCUAAUGGGAUUGAUCCCAUGUCAGUGUACACCGCCGGAGCUGAGAUUAAUCAAAUUCAGUGGUCUGCUGCACAGCGUGAUUGGAUUGCCAUUACGUUUUCUAACAAGUUGCAGCUGCUUAAAGUAUAAAUCGAAUGGAAUAAUUGAAGUUUUACUUGUA